UUGUCUCGCUUGGUUGGGAGUGAUGGUAAUACAGAGGGUGUAAUGUUGAAUCGGAAUUUCUUGUCUGAAAGCGUACGUAGGUGGUUGUGUACGUUGGAUGGGAAAUCCCAUGGCGUAACUUGGGAAUUGCAUUCAAGACUGCGUUGCUAGAGUGUGGAAGAGGGAAGCGGAAUUCCAGGUGUAGCGGUGAAAUGCGUAGAUAUCUGGAGGAACAUCAGUGGCGAAGGCGGCUUCCUGGUCCAACACUGACACUGAGGUGCGAAAGCGUGGGGAGCAAACAGGAUUAGAUACCCGUGUAGUC
This 301-nucleotide ribosomal RNA is filed under the name uncultured Enterococcus sp. RNAcentral describes it as "bacterial SSU rRNA". It matches the Rfam family "Bacterial small subunit ribosomal RNA", at positions 493 to 795 of the family's 1533-position model. Lineage: Bacteria; Bacillati; Bacillota; Bacilli; Lactobacillales; Enterococcaceae. The record is from RNAcentral.